This 429-nucleotide ribosomal RNA is filed under the name uncultured bacterium. RNAcentral's name for it is "bacterial SSU rRNA". It matches the Rfam family "Bacterial small subunit ribosomal RNA", at positions 355 to 776 of the family's 1533-position model. The record is from RNAcentral.
UGAGGAAUAUUGCGCAAUGGGCGAAAGCCUGACGCAGCGACGCCGCGUGGAGGAUGAAGGUCUUAGGAUUGUAAACUUCUGUUAAGUGGGAAGAAAGUCCCGUUUCUAAUACGGAUGGGAGAUGACGGUACCACUAAAGAAAGCACCGGCUAAACUCGUGCCAGCAGCCGCGGUAACACGAGUGGUGCGAGCGUUAUUCGGAUUUAUUGGGCGUAAAGGGCGCGUAGGUGGUAUAUUAAGUCAACUGUUAAAUUCUCCGGCCCAACUGGAGGUCAGCGGUAGAUACUGGUAAACUAGAGGGUGAGAGAGAGAAGUGGAAUUCUCGGAGUAGCGGUAAAAUGCGUAGAUAUCGAGAGGAACACCAAUGGCGAAGGCAGCUUCUUGGCUCAUUCCUGACACUGAGGCGCGAAAGCGUGGGGAGCAAACAGG